RNAcentral lists this ribosomal RNA (449 nucleotides) under uncultured bacterium. RNAcentral describes it as "partial 16S ribosomal RNA". It matches the Rfam family "Bacterial small subunit ribosomal RNA", at positions 329 to 794 of the family's 1533-position model. The record is from RNAcentral.
GGCCAGACUCCUACGGGAGGCAGCAGUCGGGAAUAUUGCGCAAUGGAGGAAACUCUGACGCAGUGACGCCGCGUAUAGGAAGAAGGUUUUCGGAUUGUAAACUAUUGUCGUUAGGGAAGAGAAAGGACAGUACCUAAGGAGGAAGCUCCGGCUAACUACGUGCCAGCAGCCGCGGUAAUACGUAGGGAGCGAGCGUUAUCCGGAAUUAUUGGGUGUAAAGGGUGCGUAGACGGGAAAGCAAGUUAGUUGUGAAAUCCCUCGGCUUAACUGAGGAACUGCAACUAAAACUACUUUUCUUGAGUGCAGGAGAGGUAAGUGGAAUUCCUAGUGUAGCGGUGAAAUGCGUAGAUAUUAGGAGGAACACCAGUGGCGAAGGCGGCUUACUGGACUGUAACUGACGUUGAGGCUCGAAAGCGUGGGGAGCAAACAGGAUUAGAUACCCGCGUAAU